Molecule: ribosomal RNA, 497 nt
Filed under: uncultured bacterium
Lineage: Bacteria
Description: partial 16S ribosomal RNA
Rfam family: Bacterial small subunit ribosomal RNA
Source: RNAcentral
GAUGAACGCUGGCGGCGUGCCUAAUACAUGCAAGUCGAGCGAACAGAUGAGGAGCUUGCUCCUCUGACGUUAGCGGCGGACGGGUGAGUAACACGUGGAUAACCUACCUAUAAGACUGGGAUAACUUCGGGAAACCGGAGCUAAUACCGGAUAAUAUAUUGAACCGCAUGGUUCAAUAGUGAAAGACGGUUUUGCUGUCACUUAUAGAUGGAUCCGCGCCGCAUUAGCUAGUUGGUAAGGUAACGGCUUACCAAGGCGACGAUGCGUAGCCGACCUGAGAGGGUGGUCGGCCACACUGGAAGUGAGACACGGUCCAGACUCCUACGGGAGGCAGCAGUAGGGAAUCUUCCGCAAUGGGCGAAAGCCUGACGGAGCAACGCCGCGUGAGUGAUGAAGGUCUUCGGAUCGUAAAACUCUGUUAUUAGGGAAGAACAAAUGUGUAAGUAACUAUGCACGUCUUGACGGUACCUAAUCAGAAAGCCACGGCUAACUACGUG